CCCUGCUUAGCUAAUCUUGAACCCAAUCUCAUUCAGCAGAAUUUGCUCUGGUGCUGUUACAUAGGAAGAACCAGACUGAAGAGCUGUGAUUUGACUGAUGUGUCAGUGGUUUGUGUAAUGCUGUUUCAGAAGAAAUCCUGUGUGUGUUCCUCUGAAUUGUAAAGGUUGGUAAGAAAGAGAAGCCUAAGUCAUCCAUUAAUCCACAGGCAAAGUACUAUUCAAGCAGCUGCAGUGAAAGCUCUCACAUGCUGCCCUGGAAAUAACCCCAGCCUUGACGUGGUAAGAUGACCCUAGUCACCCACCUCCCCAGGAAUUUCUCUAAGAAUGUGACUAAACCAAAGCACUUUUUAAGAAGUUACAAAGGAGAAGUGUCAAGCUGGGGAAGCCAGCUGGAGGUCUACAUGCAACAGGGUAAGAUGCUGAUCAGCUUCAGACUGUAUUCUAUUUAACCCUGCAACUUUAUGGGUUACUAUGUAUCAAGCCGCUUCAUGGGGGCACAGCGUUUAUGGGAAGGCUUUACAGUCUCUUUGUACCUCUGUAUUUGAUCAGACCUCCUGAUACCUUCCUCUUCUCUGUUCCUUCUCCCCUCACCCCAAGUUUAGCUUAUACCUGCUUAUAUGCCAAUAAUUAAU
This is a long non-coding RNA of Pezoporus occidentalis (night parrot), 632 nucleotides long. RefSeq lists it as uncharacterized. The transcript is spliced from 3 exons. Lineage: Eukaryota; Metazoa; Chordata; Aves; Psittaciformes; Psittacidae. The record is from RefSeq and is a predicted model, not a curated record.